Molecule: long non-coding RNA, 2055 nt
Organism: Oncorhynchus gorbuscha (pink salmon)
Lineage: Eukaryota; Metazoa; Chordata; Actinopteri; Salmoniformes; Salmonidae
Exons: 6
Source: RefSeq, a predicted model, not a curated record
UUCGGGAAUGGGUCGCAAGGAAUAAGUUAGUCCUAAAUAUUUCCAAAACUAAAAACAUUGUAUUUGGGACAAGUCGUAAUGAAAUUGAGCAAGUUGAGGUGACUAAACUGCUUGGCGUAACCAUGGAUUAGUCUAAACAUAUUGAUACAACAGUAGCUAAAAUGGGGAGAAGUCUGUCCAUAAUAAAGCACUGCUCUGCCUUCUUAACAACACUAUCAACAAGGUAGGUCCUACAGGCCCUGGUUUUGUCGCUCCUGGGCCCUGUUUCAGAAAGCAUGUCUAACAAACUCUUGAGUUUAAACCUGAACUCUGAACUGUCAAACUCUUGGGUUUUCUUUUCAGAACAGCUGAUAACAAUUAGUUCAAUAAACUAUGUUAAAUUAACCCGGAGUAAAGCACGUGCAUGAGGAGAUAAAAAGCCCUCAUCAAUGGGACGCAGAUAACAUGAUUCAUCAUCACAACAGGAGAAAAAAAAAUAUCGAACCUCCUACUUAUCCCUAGUGGAGUUAGAAAUAUUAAUGAAUGCGUAUACAGAUUAUGAAUAUAUUGUAACGACCCUGGGUUCAUAAGCGCGGACAUCGACUGCCGCAGGAGCAUGCUUUUGCGGCACAGUCGAUAGCGCCAGACCUCUGGCUCGAAGGUCGGGGGUGACCUGCUUCCUGCUGUUUCAUUACAAAAUAUUUAAGAAAAAAGUAGCAACAGAAAAAUAACGUGAGCUGGCGUGGCAGAAAGUUGCUGACCGUGUCGAUGUGUGAGUAUUAAUUGAAAAAGACUCGUGUUCCACUUAUUCAACAUUUUAUAUAGUGUGCGUGCGUGUUAAAUAUUUAUGCAGGUGCAACCAAACAUGCAGAAAACGUACUUGGCAUCAACUGAAGAUGAAAUAUAAAACAUAUACUUCAAACGGCCAAUAGAAAAAAGGCUGAGGGCUGAAGAAAGGGUGGGGGUCCACCACCACUCCUGGGGCUAAAGAGAUGGCCCUCAGUCAACAGUGGGAGACUUAUUGCUAAAGGCAUCUCUGGAGGAACCUCAUCUGACCCAACCACCCCAAGGGUGGGCCUACAUAAGAGAUUCUUAGUUGUCCUUCAGACAUCAUAAUCUAUUUUAAGCUACUGAUGGUGUAAUCUGUCUGGUGGAGCCUUCUGCCAUAACAGACCUCCAUGCAGUUGAGAAUAAUGAAGACACCUUGUUAGCUGCCACAGAGAAGGAAGCUACAGAGAGGCCUAUUGAGAGCAAUGCUGGAAAUUACAAUGAGGAAGAGGGUCCAUCCACCUCCACAGUACAACUUACCUCAGUAAGAUGUUAUUCAGCAUUGGCCCAUGAUUUUACAAUGAAACUAAGUAGACCUGGCACUGUGAAAUUCAAUGUCACUUUUUUGUGUUCCUAUAGUUCCCUGUGAAACAGCUGUACUUUGAGAAACACAUUUAAAGAUGUAAUUUAGAAAUUGACCACAAGGCUGCAGAUGCAAGAACAUAGAAAUACAACAGCUGGAACAUCAGUUAAAGGUGGGUGAGGUGCCCACAGGUGGAUGAUUUUACUUGGUUGAACAACAUAAAUAUUAACUACUGUACUGCAUUUGCACUGGCAGGAACUGAAGACUCCUUCAUAAAAAGGAAGGCAUUGUCUUUGUUUGACACUGGGGAGGUGAUUGGUCAGUCAGAAAUGAUGGUAGCAUAUUGUCUCUUCCAUCUGGUGCUUCAGCGGGGUGGUCAGGCUCAUUAUCAGGAUCGUUCACUGGUUGAAUAGGACAUUGUUCUCUAAUUGUGGCAAUGUUGUGGAGAAUCACACUAAUGUCACAUGGCCUUUCUGGAGUGACCCUGAGAUUACGAAGGUACUGGAACUGGGCCUUGAGCAUCCCAAUGGUCAUCUCUACCAUGGCUCAUGUCCUGCAGUGAGCCAAGUUAUAAUGUUGCUGCGGGCCAGGAUCAGGGUAAGGGGUCAGCAAAUGGGCGUGGCAGGGGUUCCUUCAUGUCACUGAGCAGGUAACCAUCGAACACUCUUAUGAUAAUACGAGUAUACGGUUUACAUUUUCAGUUGCAAUAGGUGGAAAGAAAAUAA